Molecule: ribosomal RNA, 492 nt
Filed under: uncultured bacterium
Lineage: Bacteria
Description: partial 16S ribosomal RNA
Rfam family: Bacterial small subunit ribosomal RNA
Source: RNAcentral
AUUGAACGCUGGCGGCAUGCUUUACACAUGCAAGUCGAACGGUAACAGGCCUUCGGGUGCUGACGAGUGGCGAACGGGUGAGUAAUGCAUCGGAACGUACCCAGAGGUGGGGGAUAACGCAGCGAAAGCUGUGCUAAUACCGCAUGUGAUCUGAGGAUGAAAGCGGGGGACCGAGCAGCAAUGUUUGGCCUCGCGCCUUUGGAGCGGCCGAUGUCGGAUUAGCUAGUUGGUGGGGUAAAGGCCUACCAAGGCGACGAUCCGUAGCUGGUCUGAGAGGACGACCGGCCACACUGGGACUGAGACACGGCCCAGACUCCGACGGGAGGCAGCAGUGGGGAAUUUUGGACAAUGGGCGCAAGCCUGAUCCAGCAAUGCCGCGUGCGGGAAGAAGGCCUUCGGGUUGUAAACCGCUUUUGGCAGGAACGAAACGGUGUCCGCUAAUACCGGGCGAUAAUGACGGUACCUGCAGAAUAAGCACCGGCUAACUACGUG